This 497-nucleotide ribosomal RNA is filed under the name uncultured bacterium. RNAcentral's name for it is "partial 16S ribosomal RNA". It matches the Rfam family "Bacterial small subunit ribosomal RNA", at positions 28 to 507 of the family's 1533-position model. The record is from RNAcentral.
GACGAACGCUGGCGGCGUGCCUAAUACAUGCAAGUUGAGCGCUGAAGGUUGGUACUUGUACCAACUGGAUGAGCAGCGAACGGGUGAGUAACGCGUGGGGAAUCUGCCUUUGAGCGGGGGACAACAUUUGGAAACGAAUGCUAAUACCGCAUAAAAACUUUAAACACAAGUUUUAAGUUUGAAAGAUGCAAUUGCAUCACUCAAAGAUGAUCCCGCGUUGUAUUAGCUAGUUGGUGAGGUAAAGGCUCACCAAGGCGAUGAUACAUAGCCGACCUGAGAGGGUGAUCGGCCACAUUGGGACUGGGACACGGCCCAAACUCCUACGGGAGGCAGCAGUAGGGAAUCUUCGGCAAUGGACGAAAGUCUGACCGAGCAACGCCGCGUGAGUGAAGAAGGGUGUCGGAUCGUAAAACUCUGUUGGUAGAGAAGAACGUUGGUGAGAGUGGAAAGCUCAUCAAGUGACGGUAACUACCCAGAAAGGGACGGCUAACUACGUG